This 71-nucleotide transfer RNA is filed under the name Loxodonta africana (African savanna elephant). It matches the Rfam family "tRNA". Rfam says of the family: Transfer RNA (tRNA) molecules are approximately 80 nucleotides in length. The record is from Rfam by way of RNAcentral. Lineage: Eukaryota; Metazoa; Chordata; Mammalia; Proboscidea; Elephantidae.
GCAGUGGUGGUUUAGUGGUAGAAUUCUUGCCUUUCAUGUGGGAGACCUGGGUUUGAUUCCCAGCCAGUGCA